Molecule: ribosomal RNA, 433 nt
Filed under: uncultured bacterium
Lineage: Bacteria
Description: partial 16S ribosomal RNA
Rfam family: Bacterial small subunit ribosomal RNA
Source: RNAcentral
AACGAACGCUGGCGGCAUGCCUAACACAUGCAAGUCGAACGAAGGCUUCGGCCUUAGUGGCGCACGGGUGCGUAACGCGUGGGAAUCUGCCCUUUGGUUCGGAAUAACAGCUGGAAACGGCUGCUAAUACCGGAUGAUGACGAAAGUCCAAAGAUUUAUCGCCAGAGGAUGAGCCCGCGUUGGAUUAGGUAGUUGGUGGGGUAAAGGCCUACCAAGCCGACGAUCCAUAGCUGGUCUGAGAGGAUGAUCAGCCACACUGGGACUGAGACACGGCCCAGACUCCUACGGGAGGCAGCAGUGGGGAAUAUUGGACAAUGGGCGCAGGCCUGAUCCAGCAAUGCCGCGUGAGUGAUGAAGGCCCUAGGGUUGUAAAGCUCUUUUACCCGGGAAGAUAAUGACUGUACCGGGAGAAUAAGCCCCGGCUAACUCCGUG